GAUUGAGUUUGCAUUAGAAGCCACUGACUUUACAUCAUGGAUCAAUCAAUCAACAAAUAUGUAGGGGGAAGUUAGGCGACUCAGUGGAGUGAGAACCAGCCAGGAGACAAGACAGGUUCAAAUGUGGAUUCAGAAAGGUUCUCUAUACCUGGUGGAUCAUAGCCUGCUCUCAGGCCUCUCUCCUGGCCUCAUCCAUGGGAACCUCAAUUCAUGGCUUCCCCAAUGACUCUGCUAUACCAGCAACCAGAUGGUGGGCCACUGGUGCCCUUUGCCAUCCAGCUCAGCCAGACUCCAGGUCCCAACAACCCUUGCCAGUCUUCUUGCCAACUGAUUCAAAGGAGGACUGACUUCCGGCCAAGACUUGGGUUUGCAAUUCAGAGUUCCUCAUUCAUGAGAUGGUCUCCCAUGUGCUCUCCACACACUUCAUUUUUGAAGCUUUUGCCAUAGCCACCAUGUGUCAGCUACCCACGUGCCAUCCAAUCUUCAAGCUACUCAUCCCCCAUUUUCACUAUACAUUUCACAUCAAUACUACAGCUUACACAGACUUCUUUAGACCUGGGGGCCUCACUGAUAAGGUCCUCUGCAAUUGUGGUCCCCUCCUGAAAGCUACCACUUCCAAGCUUCCUUCCUACACCGAAGAACGAUCUCUCACCAGUGAGAAGUCACAUAUGACCAGGACUUCUCACUGAAGGCCAGGCAUCCCUACUGAAAUAAAGAAAUCUCUGCUUCAAUGUAGUUUGUGCGG
RNAcentral lists this long non-coding RNA (745 nucleotides) under Monodelphis domestica (gray short-tailed opossum). RNAcentral describes it as "lncRNA (ENSMODG00000045303.1)". The record is from RNAcentral. Lineage: Eukaryota; Metazoa; Chordata; Mammalia; Didelphimorphia; Didelphidae.